RNAcentral lists this ribosomal RNA (108 nucleotides) under Caerostris extrusa. The record is from RNAcentral. Lineage: Eukaryota; Metazoa; Arthropoda; Arachnida; Araneae; Araneidae.
AACGGCCAUACCAUGCUGAAUAUACUGGUUCUCGUUAGAUCACUGAAGUCAGGCAUCAUUGAGCGCGGUCAAUACUUGGGUGGGGGACCACCUGGGAACACCGCGUGC